UAUAAAUUUUUACAUGCACAUGUUUUUAAUUACAAAAAGGAUUCCAUAUGUACAAUUUUGUCGCCAAUGCCAUCGUUAGUUUUAGGAAAUAUAAGAAGUUGUAGCAUUUCAAAGAUAUGCAACAGUGUAUAUUGGUCUAUUUGUGCUGCUUAAUCAUAUCAUUAUUCGGAAUAAGCUCAUCUUUUUAUAUACGUCCAAUGAUGGCUACAGAAGAUGACAUAGAUUUAGACCUUAGAUUAAUAUUAAAAGGAUCAAUGCUAGGAAAAUUAAAGAAACGAAAUUACGAUACGCUACAACAAACAUUACGGAAACAUCAUGGUUACUAUAGAUACAGACCAGAUAAUUUUAUAGAUAGGUUAUUUCAAAUGUUUGACAGAAAUGAUGAUGGUUGUAUACAGAAAAAAGAAUUCGAAACAAUAAUUGGCUUCAUCAUUUCGUAAAUGCUAAACUGAAUAAAUCAACAUUCCAUAACUGUAAACAUGGAAGCAAAAUCCAAAUGAAGUCCAGAUUACAGUUAUAAAAAAUCCGGUAGAUCAAAGUACAUGGAUUUUAAACAUAAAAGGAAAAUUCUUUUUCUAACAUUAUCUCUAAUUCUUUGCUACUGACAGUGAAUGGUGUAAAGAUCUAACUAAUCUGAUAUUGAAGAAUAUUUUAGUGCUUUAUAGAACAUUGGCAUAUUUUUAAGCAUCUAAAAAGGAUUCCUUCUAUAUAUAUGUUAUCAAGUCUAAUGCAAAAAUAAAUUAUGGCUUCUGGUUA
Long non-coding RNA from Mytilus californianus (California mussel), 756 nucleotides. RefSeq lists it as uncharacterized. The transcript has 4 exons. The record is from RefSeq and is a predicted model, not a curated record. NCBI's taxonomy places the organism in Eukaryota, Metazoa, Mollusca, Bivalvia, Mytilida, Mytilidae.